This 50-nucleotide transfer RNA is filed under the name Psammophis schokari striped form. RNAcentral describes it as "partial tRNA-His". The record is from RNAcentral. Lineage: Eukaryota; Metazoa; Chordata; Lepidosauria; Squamata.
GUGUGCGUAAUUUAAAUAAAAUAUCAAGUUGUGACCCUGACAAUAGGAAA